AAGCCUAUGAUUUAAUUGGUUAGAAUAGUCUCUUGAUAAGGGAUUUGUAGAAGUUCAAAUCUUCUUGGGCUUA
Molecule: transfer RNA, 73 nt
Filed under: Fomitopsis pinicola
Lineage: Eukaryota; Fungi; Basidiomycota; Agaricomycetes; Polyporales; Fomitopsidaceae
Also listed under: 1 other name
Description: tRNA-Ile
Rfam family: tRNA
About the family: Transfer RNA (tRNA) molecules are approximately 80 nucleotides in length.
Source: RNAcentral